This 215-nucleotide ribosomal RNA is filed under the name uncultured bacterium. RNAcentral describes it as "partial 16S ribosomal RNA". It matches the Rfam family "Bacterial small subunit ribosomal RNA", at positions 30 to 253 of the family's 1533-position model. The record is from RNAcentral.
CCUGAACGCUGGCGGCGUGGCUAAGACAUGCAAGUCGCACGGAACCCGCAAGGGUUCAGUGGCGAACGGGUGAGUAAUGAAUCGCUAAUGUGCCCCGACUCUGAGAUAGCUGCCCGAAAGGGCAGGUAAUAUCAGAUGAUAUAACCGAACCGCAUGGUUUGGUUCUCAAAGGUCCGCCGGUCUGGGAGCAGGCGAUUUCGUAUCAGCUAGUUGGU